This is a long non-coding RNA of Mizuhopecten yessoensis (Yesso scallop), 718 nucleotides long. RefSeq lists it as uncharacterized. The transcript is spliced from 3 exons. NCBI's taxonomy places the organism in Eukaryota, Metazoa, Mollusca, Bivalvia, Pectinida, Pectinidae. The record is from RefSeq and is a predicted model, not a curated record.
UACUUCCGGUUUGAAUCACGAGUUAACUUCGAUAAGGUAUCUUGCUUGCUAUUGGUGAUACCAAAUAUCGAAAGUGAUACACAGUCCAUAGUUUUGUUAUAUUGAUACAAAGAACACGACUGUUUCAAGUAUUCCAGUUCGACAGAUAACUGUGAAUAAUAUAAUCUGACAUCUUGGCUGAAAACGAUAAUAAAGUGCAGACAACUCUCACUUCGAGAAUGUCAACAAUGGAUUGGCCCGAUUGUAUUGGAAAGACAUGGCAAGAAGCGGAAGCGAUCAUUCGGAAAGAGUACCCAAACAUUUCGGUGCAGGUUUUACCUAAAGGAUCCAUGGUAACCAUGGACUACCGGCCUGAACGAGUCCGGAUAUUUACCGAUGAAACCGGAAAAGUUGUUGACGUUCCAAUGAUAGGAUGACACAGCUUCCCAUUGAGGGUUACUCCCUAACUGUUAUACCAAUCAUUGGUUUGCAAAACAUUUUAUUUGUGUUUUGACUUUUCCUCAAUCUAAUGGUAAUUCGAAUUGUUGGUACCCUGGUAAUUCAGUGUAAUUUCAUUUUCAGUGCCUAUUGACAACAUUUUUUUUUUUUUUUUACACAGUACCUCAAGCUGUUAACUGUGUAUUUACAAAUAAGUAAGGUUGUCUGCCAGUGACACAAGCUGAUUUAUACCUCAAGCUGUUAACUGUGUAAUUACAAAUAAAUAAGGUUGUCUGCCAGU